GGUGGAGGGAAGCUCAUAGGUGGGGCUAUGAGAUGAACAGGUUUAGCCAUUCUACCCGUCUUUGGGAAGGUGUGAGAUAAGGACCCUUCUUGAGGUUCAGGGAGGUGAGUUCUCAGAGCGGGAGAAAAGAUAGGGCUUUCCUAAACAGGAUUCCUCUCAAGGCACC
Molecule: RNase P RNA, 166 nt
Filed under: Moschus moschiferus (Siberian musk deer)
Lineage: Eukaryota; Metazoa; Chordata; Mammalia; Artiodactyla; Moschidae
Description: Nuclear RNase P (ENSMMSG00000011352.1)
Rfam family: Nuclear RNase P
About the family: Ribonuclease P (RNase P) is a ubiquitous endoribonuclease, found in archaea, bacteria and eukarya as well as chloroplasts and mitochondria.
Source: Rfam by way of RNAcentral